This is a non-coding RNA of Lipotes vexillifer (Yangtze River dolphin), 73 nucleotides long. NCBI's taxonomy places the organism in Eukaryota, Metazoa, Chordata, Mammalia, Artiodactyla, Lipotidae. The record is from the annotation of a RefSeq genome assembly.
UCCCUGGUGGUCCAACAGUUAAGACAUUGCACUCCCAAUGCAGGGGGCCCAGGUUCGAUCCCUGGUUAGGGAA